CUCUGUCGGCUACCGCGCUGGGAGAUGUGGAAUCGAACCGGUGACCUUAGGAUCGCAAGCAAUGGGGGAGCCAGAAUUUUCAGCGCGUGUCCCCUCGGAGGAUGACAAGACGGAUGCAAGGGUGGCGAAGAUAAUGAAUGGCAAGCGAAAAUGUCUCGUGGGGUUUCGUCGGACAGAAGCACAAGCUGCAGCAACCAGCAUCAGAAGUCGUGCUUGAGCUGGACCCUUCUCUUGAUGCCUCCUCGCACCGAGUUCCGCUGAUGUCCUGGAAGAUGACCAUCAUGGGAUGGGGGGGGGGGGCAUAAUGAGCUUCUUCCCUUGAAGUUGCGACGUGGAGAACACAAGCCGCUUGGAUGCCUGGCUUUAAUCAGGCCAACUUUAAAAUAAAAUACGCAUCUAGUGAAGUUCAAAUGGCCUAAAUCAAUUUUGGAAACAUAUUACAUUUCCUGUGCCAUGAUUAAAAAAUGUUUUUUUAUGCUUGUGAUUUUCGUUUACCUUACGUGCAGUUUGUAUUGUAUUUGAAUAAUCCUAACGAUACUGCUGAAUACAAGCCAAUGUUUGUUUUGAUGUUUCAUGUCAAAGGUACAUUUUAGCUACAUAUUUUGAAAGUAAUCACUGUUCAAUAUUGUUAUCUUUUAACAUGAUUUCAAUAAAAAACUGAUUUUGAAAUAUA
Lethenteron reissneri (Far Eastern brook lamprey) is the source of this 673-nucleotide long non-coding RNA. RefSeq lists it as uncharacterized. NCBI's taxonomy places the organism in Eukaryota, Metazoa, Chordata, Hyperoartia, Petromyzontiformes, Petromyzontidae. The record is from RefSeq and is a predicted model, not a curated record.